UGAUCGUCAUUCUGUUGGGUUUGCCGUGAAAGGGCGUACCUAAUAAAGCGGUGAUGAGAAGUUCAAGACGCAAAAGAAAAAAAAAAACUGAUUUGACUUUUCUCAGAAGAGAAAAGUUAAUCAUUCGUGUGUGGAUUCCGAUCCAGCGACGUCAUUGAUGCGGCAAACGGCGACGAGCGGCCGCUAAUCCGACGCGCGGAGGGGACGCGCUACAGGAAAGCCGUGACGGACGGAGACCGAGAGAUGACAGACAGACGGCCGGCGGCCGGGAGGGGCUCGCAAGAUGAACUUUGUGAUUCCGAUUUUGCGGCGAGGGAGGUGUCAAGAGAUCGGGUGGGUCGGCACCUUCAAAACUGACUGCACUCGGUCGGUCCCGCGUUACAGGAGGGAUUUUUUUUUUUUCCCCUUCCCAUCCGGGUAAAUAUCUCACAAUUGCAAACUUCCAAUCUUGCGUUGUCAAAAUUGCUCUUCGGUGUCCGGUGUCAAAGUCAGGCUGGACUUCCUUCUCAGUUGACCGUUGGGAACAUUUUCAUUCACAUUCAUUGGCUGACGAGAGACACUUCAGUCACGUGACUUUUGUUUACGACGCUCACUCACUGGACAGCUGGCGGGGUUUUUUUUUUUUGGCUUGCUUCCGAGCGUCUUCUGGCCUUUUCGUGACGCUUGUGAGAACGGACGGAAGAAGGUCUCUGACACUUGAGGCAAUUGUUGACCUUUUGCUGGGAAUUCAGCUCAUUUCCUGCGCCAUCCUCCCCACUUGUCGUUCGCUCUCCAGUCAAACUUUGCUUUCCGGGUUGGCGGCGGCUAACGUGGCUGUCGCUAGUCGUAGCCUUUAGCUGCGCUUUUGCUAACUCUACGCCGACGUGCCCGCUCCGGCAGGGCCCUGGCCGAGGAACUUUUUGCGCACGCUCGCAGGAGGAAACUGCACUUUUCUGUUCUAAGCGGUCGAGUUGCUGGAAUCUCCGCCACGCAUCCGCUCGAUUGGCUGAGUUGGAACACCGAACGCCUCCCGGUCGUCAGUCCGUGGUUACGCUUCCGUCGCUCCGACACCACGUCAUGACCUUGCUGUCGCGUCACUGAACGACGCAGACGCGUCGCACGCGGUCCUCGCGCCCUUCGCAGUCCGAUUGGACGACGGGACCGACCCGCCCGCUUCGCUUCCCGAAAUAGAAACGCCGAUCGGCGACUCGACGGCUUGGUGACAAGACGGCAAAAAGUCCGAAAAAAUUCAGGGGUGAGAGGAGGCGGGGGAGCCGGCAACAGAAGGCGGGGGGGAUUCACGGUUACAGCGUCUGGCUGCCUCACACGCACUUACGAGGUCCAAGGUUCCAAUCCCGGCCCCCCUCCCUGUGGAAUGCGCAUGUUUCUCCCCGUGCGGAAGGGAACGAAACAAAGAUGCAUCAGAUGGCGACCGGUUGAGCUAACCGGUAAAAGCUCCGUAACCCUUGUGAGGAUAAGCAGCUCAGAAAACGGACGGAUUCAAGAUUCUCCCUCACUUCGGCUGUCGGACGACGACCGAAGUCCAGAACGUCGCCGCUUCGUCGGCAAUCCGUUUUGACGCUGUCCGGAAAUCGCGUCAGUCAAAACCAAAGCGCGGCGGUUCACGGGAGCACCAGAACGGAUUUCGGGUCAGCGCCAUGCAAAGUUUCCCGCUUUCGCUUCCGUGGAGACGCGCCAUCGGGGAAAAAGGCAUCCGGUCGCCGUCGGAGACGCGGGCCACGCUCGCACGCCCACACGGACCGCUCGUCGAGACCGGUGACGACGGUUUUCCUCCAAUCAGAGCGGACGGGCGGAACUUAAAUUGGCCGCGGGAAGUUUCCACUGACAAGCUAACGGAAAAGGGCGCAAGGAAAGACGGAAGGAAGGAAAGAAGUCAGCAAAUGUCGACCAGGGAGAAGAAACGAAACGUCCUUUGAAAUCGACAACAAUUGACUUCGUGCCAACGACGGGCCGACGCGUGACGUCGUUAUCGCGCGGCGGCAAAACGUGACAUCAUCGCCCGGCGAGGCGUGAAAGUGCAAAGGAAAAAUGGAGGACACGUCUUGUUUUUGCCGGUAAUUCCUUGUUGAGGUGGAGUGUAAAUAAUGGCGGACCGCUGCGGCGCGCGCUAUCGUGCGGACCGCUGCGGCG
This is a long non-coding RNA of Syngnathoides biaculeatus (alligator pipefish), 2130 nucleotides long. RefSeq lists it as uncharacterized. The transcript is spliced from 4 exons. NCBI's taxonomy places the organism in Eukaryota, Metazoa, Chordata, Actinopteri, Syngnathiformes, Syngnathidae. The record is from RefSeq and is a predicted model, not a curated record.